CAAUUACAUUCUUCCAUAAUGUACUAUUUCCUUAUCGAAGCUCGUUAAAGUUUGUUCAAAGCACGACACUAAAGCAGUUACAGUUUUGGCUUGCCAUUCAAGUGACUGUCAAAGAGGAGACAACAUAACUCUAACGGAACUUUAUUUAUGCAGUGAAGAGCAGAAAAUGAUGCAUGGAAUCCUGUGGAUAAGAAGAAGCAAUAUGAGAAAGCCCAUGGAUCACAAUGCAAGACCUCUGCAAGACAGAGCUGUGACAAAAGAUGUGUAAGACAGACCAUACCUCUUACUGUUGCAUUUUCUUUAUUUAAAGUGAGCAGAAGCUGACAAGGAUGCAGGA
Molecule: long non-coding RNA, 337 nt
Organism: Siniperca chuatsi (mandarin fish)
Lineage: Eukaryota; Metazoa; Chordata; Actinopteri; Centrarchiformes; Sinipercidae
Exons: 3
Source: RefSeq, a predicted model, not a curated record